This 250-nucleotide ribosomal RNA is filed under the name uncultured Prevotella sp. RNAcentral describes it as "partial 16S ribosomal RNA". It matches the Rfam family "Bacterial small subunit ribosomal RNA", at positions 109 to 354 of the family's 1533-position model. The record is from RNAcentral. Lineage: Bacteria; Pseudomonadati; Bacteroidota; Bacteroidia; Bacteroidales; Prevotellaceae.
AGUAACGCGUAUCCAACCUUCCCACUUACUGUUGGGAUAACCUGCCGAAAGGCAGACUAAUACCGCAUAGUCUUCGAUGACGGCAUCAGAUUUGAAGUAAAGAUUUAUCGGUAAUGGAUGGGGAUGCGUCUGAUUAGCUUGUUGGCGGGGUAACGGCCCACCAAGGCGACGAUCAGUAGGGGGUUCUGAGAGGAAGGUCCCCCACAUUGGAACUGAGACACGGUCCAAACUCCUACGGGAGGCAGCAGGG